This 321-nucleotide transfer RNA is filed under the name Mesoptychia heterocolpos. RNAcentral's name for it is "partial tRNA-Leu". The stretch from base 1 to 241 matches the Rfam family "Group I catalytic intron", at positions 27 to 253 of the family's 253-position model. From Rfam's summary of the family: Group I catalytic introns are large self-splicing ribozymes. They catalyse their own excision from mRNA, tRNA and rRNA precursors in a wide range of organisms. Lineage: Eukaryota; Viridiplantae; Streptophyta; Jungermanniopsida; Jungermanniales; Jungermanniaceae. The record is from RNAcentral.
CAAGAAAUUUACUAAGUGAUUNUUUCCAUAUUCAGGGAAAUCUGGGUUGAAAGAAAAACAUAGUAGGUAAUCCUGAGCCAAAUUUUUAUUGUAAAAUAGGUGCAGAGACCCAAAGGAAACUAUCCGAUUGAAAAACUAUAAUAUUUNUAGAUAAAUNUAAAUNNNAUUNUUUNAUAAUUUAUUAUUAUAAAUUAUGUUGGAUAGGGAUAAAGAUAGAGUCCAUUUUUACAUGCUAUAUUCAGUUAGCAGCGAUGUAAAUCAUUGUAAAAAGAAAAUCCGUUGGCUUUUUAGACCGUGAGGGUUCAAGUCCCUCUACCCCCA